UUUACCUUGUCAGCUCGGGGAUUUACUGGCCCAACGCUCUAACCACUAAGCUACCUGCCGCCCCUGUAUAAUGUGGGACAUCAUUUUUAUUUUUUCACAAGCAGUGCACAGGGCCUUUACUAGCGGACCAAUAUAGCCGUCUAUAGUGCCGGCAACACAUUUUCACAGCACCGCCGCACCCCCAUCCCGAAACAUAUUUCCAUGACUAUGAUCACAGGUUUCACUUUUUAUGGCUUCACUGUCCAUCUCCGACUCCAAAUGAGAAGAGUCCGCUUAUACUCGAGUCAGAAACAGCCAUCCCCGCUACAAGAGCCAACAGCGACGUGAGACAAGCUUUGCCGGUGACACCCAGGGUCCCGGGAGUUGCCCUUGAUGCAGUAGUCCCAGCCUCCAGACCAGGGAAGGUGACGCUGGUGUCGGUGGAGUUGAGCUUCACCCUGCUUUCUGAGCCCUCCAUGAUGAUGCUGAUUGUGUACAGGACAGCGUGGACCACUGGCUCCCACCCCACCACGAUGGUGUCAUUGCUGGGUGAGGUGGAGUUGAGCUCUGGCGCUGCAACCGCUGUAGGAGAGAGACAGCAAAGAUACAUCUUAUUUGAGAACAUCAAACCACUAAACCACAAUGGAUGAAACUGCUGCUUUAUUGUUUUGGUACAUGAAGAAACCCGAUAGGCUGACUAACUCAGUGCUCAACCCAGUUAAGUUUAUUAUUUGUGUUCAUGGAGAGGGGUCAGAUAUAAUUACCCCGGAUACAGGAUAGAUAACUUUCACCCUUAGGGCUUUAAGAUCAGGUAUGCAGCUACUCCCCUUUCUUAGCUUUCGUUUGUUCUUUCUUUCCCCAACAGUCAGUUAAUGUGAGGUCCAAGGGACAAUACCUGUCUUUGCUACUGAAGGGAGGGAAGGCUGGCUCCUGCCUCUGUGGAUGACGGAUAUGACAUUGAGAGUGUAGUCGGUGUACACCUAGAGGUUGAGCAUGGUCCCGGGGGAAGAGGACACCUCGGUCUCGGAGAAGGACAGGUCGGUGUUCUCAGCCCGCAGGAUGUAGUAGGAGGCUCCUGUCACAUUCUGACCUUGGUUCUUUUGUUAUGUCUGUGUUUUAGUAUGGUCAGGGCAUGAAUUGGGUGGGUUGUCUAUGUUCCUUUUUCUAUGAUUUGGGAUUUCUGUGUUUGGCCUGGUAUGGUUCUCAAUCAGAGGCAGCUGUCAAUUGUUGUCCCUGAUUGAGAACCAUACUUAGGUAGCCUGGUUUCACUUUUGAGUUGUGGCUGAUUGUUUCCUGUGUCUGUGUUUGUACCACACGGGACUGUUUCGGUUUUCGUUUGUUCAUUCACGUUGUUAUUUUGUAUUUUUGUAGUUUUCAGUUUUAUAUAUUAAAAUGGACACUUACCACGCUGCAUAUUGGUCCUCCGAUCCUUCCUACUACUCCUCUUCGUCAGAAGAGUGACGGGCGAUUCUGGCAGCUCCUGGCUGAUGGACGGCUCUGGCAGCUCCUCUUCGUCAGAGGACAAUCGUUAUAGCUCCUGUCACCUGAGUGAACUCCACAGCUCUCACUCUGCUUUCAUGUUGCCAUGUUUGUAGGGGGCACCUCAGAAGCUACAGAAAAAAGGGUGGGAUUAUUAAGACUCAAUUCAGGAGCUACACACAUGCAAAUGUAAUGAGUGUAACCAGUUCCACCACAAUAAUGUUUUCAUACAGGAAAAUCAUAUUUUUCACUGUAAGCCUACUGUCAAGAUAUACUGUACACUGAAUGUACAAAAAAUGAUGAACACCUGCUCUCUCCAUGACAUAGACUGACCAGGUGAAU
Non-coding RNA from Oncorhynchus mykiss (rainbow trout), 1800 nucleotides. The record is from RefSeq and is a predicted model, not a curated record. Lineage: Eukaryota; Metazoa; Chordata; Actinopteri; Salmoniformes; Salmonidae.